CCUUUUACCCUGAUCUCCUGGGAGGCAGCAGACUUCUCCAUGGGUUGGGUCAGGCCGGCAUAUGCGGCCCUCUGUUCUGCUCAGAAGGGAGUCACUUAUGACAGUAACCCUUCUCUUCUUCUUGAUGGAGGUGGUCGUGAUACUGGGGAAGGCUGACUUGCCCUAGAAAACCCCUCCAACCUGGAUGGACCUUCAUGCACAUCAUCAUCUGUGUGUCCAUUACUUCCAGAGUCUGUUGUUUCAGGGCACCUGAAAGGAAGGUGAGGUAGGCAAGGAGGGGUUCGCCUGCUGCCCCGAGCAGAUCUAAACUUCCAUCCCUUCGUCACUGAGAUGCACUCCUUCUGCCUGAUGGCCAGAGGCCUGCCCACCUCCUCCCGAAGCUCUGCCAGGAGGCUGAGCAGUUCUUCUACCUGGGCGCACCUACCACAGGUGGACUCACAGGAUGGGAUGUCAGGAAGAAUUUCUUCAUGCAAAGGGUGGAACCGGCUGCCCAGGGCACUGCUGGAGUCCCAGGCCUGGAGCUAUUAAAGAAAUGCGUGGACUUGGCGCUAAGGGCCGUGGUUUUGUGGUGGGCCUGGUGGUGUUAGCUGACGCUUGGACUUGAGCUGAAGGCCCUUUUCCAAGCGCAAGGGUUCUGUGACUCUUUCACUGGUUGAGUAGGCGCCAUGCAGUCACCGGGCCCAGGGAAAAGACGUCCUUGGUGGCCUCCAAGUUAGCUCAGCGUCAUGGCACCGAGUCACUGUGAAGGAGCUGCUGGAAUAACGAGACAACAACCUAGUUCUAUUAAAAUAUAUAUUGCUCUUUUGAGGACUGCUGCGGGGCUAGCAG
Non-coding RNA from Anas platyrhynchos (mallard), 828 nucleotides. The record is from RefSeq and is a predicted model, not a curated record. Lineage: Eukaryota; Metazoa; Chordata; Aves; Anseriformes; Anatidae.